RNAcentral lists this ribosomal RNA (497 nucleotides) under uncultured bacterium. Its description in RNAcentral is "partial 16S ribosomal RNA". It matches the Rfam family "Bacterial small subunit ribosomal RNA", at positions 28 to 507 of the family's 1533-position model. The record is from RNAcentral.
GAUGAACGCUGGCGGCGUGCCUAAUACAUGCAAGUCGAGCGAACAGACGAGGAGCUUGCUCCUCUGACGUUAGCGGCGGACGGGUGAGUAACACGUGGAUAACCUACCUAUAAGACUGGGAUAACUUCGGGAAACCGGAGCUAAUACCGGAUAAUAUAUUGAACCGCAUAGUUCAAUAGUGAAAGACGGUUUUGCUGUCACUUAUAGAUGGAUCCGCGCCGCAUUAGCUAGUUGGUAAGGUAACGGCUUACCAAGGCGACGAUGCGUAGCCGACCUGAGAGGGUGAUCGGCCACACUGGACCUGAGACACGGUCCAAAGUCCUGAGGGAGGCAGCAGUAGGGAAUCUUCCGCAAUGGGCGAAAGCCUGACGGAGCAACGCCGCGUGAGUGAUGAAGGUCUUCGGAUCGUAAAACUCUGUUAUUAGGGAAGAACAAAUGUGUAAGUAACUAUGCACGUCUUGACGGUACCUAAUCAGAAAGCCACGGCUAACUACGUG